CUACCCUUGACAUGUCCAGUAUGAGCACCAGAGAUGGAGCUCUUCAGUUCGGCUGGCUGGAACACAGGUGCUGCAUGGCUGUCGUCAGCUCGUGUCGUGAGAUGUUGGGUUAAGUCCCGCAACGAGCGCAACCCUCGCUUCUAGUUGCCAUCAUUCAGUUGGGCACUCUAGAGGGACUGCCGGUGAUAAGCCGGAGGAAGGUGGGGAUGACGUCAAGUCCUCAUGGCCCUUACGGGUAGGGCUACACACGUGCUACAAUGGCGGUGACAGUGGGCAGCGACACAGUGAUGUGAUGCUAAUCCCAAAAAGCCGUCUCAGUUCAGAUUGCAGUCUGCAACUCGGCUGCAUGAAGUUGGAAUCGCUAGUAAUCGUAGAACAGCAUGCUACGGUGAAUACGUUCCC
Molecule: ribosomal RNA, 402 nt
Filed under: uncultured bacterium
Lineage: Bacteria
Description: bacterial SSU rRNA
Rfam family: Bacterial small subunit ribosomal RNA
Source: RNAcentral